Molecule: ribosomal RNA, 440 nt
Filed under: uncultured bacterium
Lineage: Bacteria
Description: bacterial SSU rRNA
Rfam family: Bacterial small subunit ribosomal RNA
Source: RNAcentral
GGCGGACCGGCGCGACGGGUGAGUAACGCGUAUGACCAACCUACCUAUACGAGGAAGGGGAACUAACCCGGACGAAAGUCGGACUAAUACCGCAUAAAACAGGGGCACCGCAUGGUGAUAUUUGUUAAAGAAAUUCGCUGAUAGAUGGGCAUGCGUUCCAUUAGGUAGUUGGUGAGGUAACGGCUCACCAAGCCGACGAUGGAUAGGGGAACUGAGAGGUUGGUCCCCCACACUGGUACUGAGACACGGACCAGACUCCUACGGGAGGCAGCAGUGAGGAAUAUUGGUCAAUGGGCGAGAGCCUGAACCAGCCAAGUCGCGUGAAGGAAGAAGGAUCUAUGGUUCGUAAACUUCUUUUGCAGGGGAAUAAAGUGCAGGACGUGUCCUGUUUUGUAUGUACCCUGAGAAUAAGGAUCGGCUAACUCCGUGCCAGCCGCAGC